This 458-nucleotide ribosomal RNA is filed under the name Theileria annulata. Its description in RNAcentral is "SSU rRNA". It matches the Rfam family "Eukaryotic small subunit ribosomal RNA", at positions 486 to 984 of the family's 1831-position model. Lineage: Eukaryota; Apicomplexa; Aconoidasida; Piroplasmida; Theileriidae. The record is from RNAcentral.
CGGGGCUUAAAGUCUUGUAAUUGGAAUGAUGGGAAUUUAAACCUCUUCCAGAGUAUCAAUUGGAGGGCAAGUCUGGUGCCAGCAGCCGCGGUAAUUCCAGCUCCAAUAGCGUAUAUUAAAAUUGUUGCAGUUAAAAAGCUCGUAGUUGAAUUUCUGCUGCAUUGCUUGUGUCCCUCUGGGGUCUGUGCAUGUGGCUUUUUUCGGACGGAGUUCCUUUGUCUGAAUGUUUACUUUGAGAAAAUUAGAGUGCUCAAAGCAGGCUUUCGCCUUGAAUAGUUUAGCAUGGAAUAAUAAAGUAGGACUUUGGUUCUAUUUUGUUGGUUUUAGGUACCAAAGUAAUGGUUAAUAGGAACAGUUGGGGGCAUUCGUAUUUAACUGUCAGAGGUGAAAUUCUUAGAUUUGUUAAAGACGAACUACUGCGAAAGCAUUUGCCAAGGAUGUUUUCAUUAAUCAAGAAC